UACGUAGGGUGCAAGCGUUGUCCGGAAUUAUUGGGCGUAAAGAGCUCGUAGGCGGUCUGUCGCGUCUGCUGUGAAAACCUGGGGCUUAACCCCGGGCCUGCAGUGGGUACGGGCAGACUAGAGUGCGGUAGGGGAGACUGGAAUUCCUGGUGUAGCGGUGAAAUGCGCAGAUAUCAGGAAGAACACCCGUGGCUAAGGCGGCUCUCUAGUACGGUACUGACGCUGAGACGCGAAAGCGUGGGGAGCGAACAGG
This 253-nucleotide ribosomal RNA is filed under the name uncultured bacterium. RNAcentral describes it as "partial 16S ribosomal RNA". It matches the Rfam family "Bacterial small subunit ribosomal RNA", at positions 524 to 776 of the family's 1533-position model. The record is from RNAcentral.